UACAGAGGUGGCAAGCGUUGUUCGGAAUUACUGGGCGUAAAGCGCGCGCAGGCGGUCUUCCAAGUCAGUGGUGAAAGCCCGGAGCUCAACUCCGGAACUGCCAUUGAAACUGUUAGACUUGAGGAUGAGAGAGGUGAGUGGAAUUCCCAGUGUAGAGGUGAAAUUCGUAGAUAUUGGGAAGAACACCGGUGGCGAAGGCGGCUCACUGGCUCAUUACUGACGCUCAGGCGCGAUAGCGUGGGGAUCAAACAGG
RNAcentral lists this ribosomal RNA (253 nucleotides) under uncultured bacterium. RNAcentral describes it as "partial 16S ribosomal RNA". It matches the Rfam family "Bacterial small subunit ribosomal RNA", at positions 524 to 776 of the family's 1533-position model. The record is from RNAcentral.